RNAcentral lists this small RNA (672 nucleotides) under Pongo abelii (Sumatran orangutan). RNAcentral describes it as "processed transcript". The record is from RNAcentral. Lineage: Eukaryota; Metazoa; Chordata; Mammalia; Primates; Hominidae.
UGGCAAAGCCUUUAACCAGUUUUCACACCUUACUACAGAUAAGAUAACUCAUAUUGGAGAGAAAUCUUACAAGUGUGAAUAAUGUGGUAAAGUCUAUAAAAAAUUGUCACACUUGAUCGUAGGUAAGAAAAUUCAUACUGGCGAAAACUACCAAUGUGAACAAUGUGGCCAAGCUUUGAACCAAUGCUCAUGCCUUAAUGUAUAGGAAAGCAUUUAUACUUGAGAAAACGUGUACAAAUGUAGACAAAGUUAAAAAGCCAUUAAUACCUGCUCACAUCGUACUCAAAAUCAGAGCGUUCAUACUAAAUAAAAACAUUAGAAGUGUAAUUACUGUCAAAAGAUCGAUCAGAAAAUAUGUCUUUAAAGUACAGAAGAGUAUUUAUUUUGAAAAAGCAUUACAAAUAUGAAGAGGCAUUAUUUAUGACCUUUUCUAUGGAAAGCUUUUUAAUUUAAAGUCUGUUUUAUUUGAUACGGAGUCUUGCUCCAUUGCCAGGCUGGAGUGCAGUGGCGCAAUCUCAUCCCACUGCUCACUGCAACCUCUGCCUCCCCUAUUGAAGUGAUUCUCCUGUCUCAGCCUCCCGAGUAGCUGGGACUACAGGCACACACCACCAUGCUCAGCUAAUUUUUGUAUUUUCAGAAGAGACGGGGUUUCAUCAUAUUCACCAGGCUGGU